CAUAUCAAUAAGCGGAGGAAAAGAAACUAACAAAGGAUUCCCCUAGUAACUGCGAGUGAAGCGGGAAAAGCUCAAAUUUAAAAUCUGUCAGUCUUUGGCUGUCCGAGUUGUAAUCUAGAGAAGUGUUAUCCGCGCUGGACCGUGUACAAGUCUCCUGGAAUGGAGCGUCAUAGAGGGUGAGAAUCCCGUCUCUGACACGGACUACCAGGGCUUUGUGAUGCGCUCUCAAAGAGUCGAGUUGUUUGGGAAUGCAGCUCAAAAUGGGUGGUAAAUUCCAUCUAAAGCUAAAUAUUGGCGAGAGACCGAUAGCGAACAAGUACCGUGAGGGAAAGAUGAAAAGAACUUUGGAAAGAGAGUUAAACAGUACGUGAAAUUGCUGAAAGGGAAACGCUUGAAGUCAGUCGCGUUGUCCAGGGAUCAACCUUGCUUUUGCUUGGUGUACUUUCUGGUUAACGGGUCAGCAUCAAUUUUGAUCAUUGGAAAAAGGUUAGGGGAAUGUGGCAUCUUCGGAUGUGUUAUAGCCCUUGAUUGCAUACAAUGGUUGGGAUUGAGGAACUCAGCACGCCGCAAGGCCGGGUUUUAACCACGUACGUGCUUAGGAUGCUGGCAUAAUGGCUUUAAUCGACCCGUCUUGAAACACGGACCAAGGAGUCUAACAUGCCUGCGAGUGUUUGGGUGGAAAACCCGAGCGCGUAAUGAAAGUGAAAGUUGAGAUCCCUGUCGUGGGGAGCAUCGACGCCCGGACCAGACCUUUUGUGACGGUUCCGCGGUAGAGCAUGUAUGUUGGGACCCGAAAGAUGGUGAACUAUGCCUGAAUAGGGUGAAGCCAGAGGAAACUCUGGUGGAGGCUCGUAGCGAUUCUGACGUGCAAAUCGAUCGUCAAAUUUGGGUAUAGGGGCGAAAGACCUAAUCGAACCAUCUAGUAGCUGGGUUCCUGCC
Molecule: ribosomal RNA, 939 nt
Filed under: Cortinarius sp. PDD 112810
Lineage: Eukaryota; Fungi; Basidiomycota; Agaricomycetes; Agaricales; Cortinariaceae
Description: partial large subunit ribosomal RNA
Rfam family: Eukaryotic large subunit ribosomal RNA
Source: RNAcentral